GAAAAGUUACCACAGGGA
This 18-nucleotide non-coding RNA is filed under the name Arabidopsis thaliana (thale cress). Lineage: Eukaryota; Viridiplantae; Streptophyta; Magnoliopsida; Brassicales; Brassicaceae. The record is from RNAcentral. RNAcentral also lists the same sequence under 2 other names.